AUUAAAAUCCGUCGCUAAAAUUGGCGCUUGCUUUGUAGCUACGGAAUUAGCGGCAAAAGUUCUGUCGUUAAAUUAAUGAAAACUUAAUAUGGAUUUAACCACGAAUUAUUCGUCGCAAGCUAUAUUUAAACUAUUAAAAAUACCUUUAAAAUAGCUCGACGAAAUAUUUCCGUCGCUAGUUUUUUUUUUUUUUUUAAAAUGAAAAUAUUUUUCUUUGGGUACUGGUUGAUACACUUAACAUUUAACAAAACCCUAGUCUUUCUUCUAUAUCGGCGCUCUCGUUUCUAUCGCCUCUCACGUCUCUCAUCUCACGUCACCUGCAAGUGAAAUUCCACUUCAGUUGUUGAAUUGUUUGAUGUUAUUGCGAAAUUAGCAGUGAUAGUAAAGGUUGAAAUUCAAGGACUUGGCUCAAAUCGGGAAAGGAAUGUUGAUAAUGACAUAGAUUAGUUGGCCGCCUCUUAUGCUAUUGAAGUUGUUGAAAAGGUUCGAGUUUCAACACCAAGUGAGAAAUGUGUAUAGGUUGUUGAAAAGGGUCGAUAUCCAACGCCAAGUGAGACACAUUUGUAUGUCUAUUCAAAUGAUUGAUGAUCAUCAGCCUUCAAUCACGAAUUAGUUAGUUUUUAUUUGCUUGGACGUUAUUGUUGGUGUUUCAGAUGUAUCAAACUCAACUAUAUAAUUAUUAAAUGCAUAAUGUUACUUAGGUGCCGUUUGGUCAUAAAUACCAAAAACAAAUUCACUUU
Lycium barbarum (goji berry) is the source of this 740-nucleotide long non-coding RNA. RefSeq lists it as uncharacterized. The record is from RefSeq and is a predicted model, not a curated record. The transcript is spliced from 3 exons. Lineage: Eukaryota; Viridiplantae; Streptophyta; Magnoliopsida; Solanales; Solanaceae.